AACAGCUAGUAGAUGUAGAGGGGACCGCUAACGGGGACGAACUACUUCCGGCCGGAAGUUCUGGAAGGGGGAGGGAGCUGUGGUCGCUCGAAGUGGGAGGUCCUUGCUCCCCGGCCCCCAGUCAUUGGCCUAGGGCUUUCAGGUAACUGGGGCGGGGCUGUGCCGGGAGUGAGGGAUAGGCUCCGCUUCACCCCUCAGCUGCGUCGGGUUCUGGGACGCACCACCACAGUCAGCACCGCGGCCGAGGCCCGCCCCCUGCCCUCCUCCUUCAGUCCCCGCUGGUUCAGGAUGGGCUUCUCCUUAGUGUUGCACCAAGCCGCCCUCCUCACUGCGGCGUUCUGCCCUCAACCCGUCCCUCUCACCGCUCCCCACACAGGAGCUGAUGGACACAGAGGUCAUCCAGGGAAUAGAGGCUGGCAAAAAUACUGGUGAAGCUAGAAAUGAAGAUGAGGGGGAGGCAUCUUUUUACCACAGCAGCCAAAAAUCACCAUCACAGAGGCCAUCUCAACUGUACAGAAACCUAGAUAGUUCCUUUCCACUUGUGUAGGCAUUCCUGAUGCCUAUUUUGGACAGCUAAAUGGCAUAGAUGAAUAUUUAAUGAGAAGAGUAACAUAGUCUUGUCAACUCCAAAAUUAUAGAUUUCCUUCAAAGAAAAUAAUGUAGGCAUUAUUUUGCCUCUUACUUUGGAAGAUGUGACUUUUAAGAAUCUUUGAAUCUUUAAAUUUCUUUAGAUAGGAUAUUGAACUUAUAUUUUAAGCAAUAUAAUUGUAACAACAUUCUAGUCCUCUGAAAUAAUCAGGAAACUUCCUUGAAUGGAAUUUGGAAAUAAAACUUAAUGAAUA
Molecule: long non-coding RNA, 842 nt
Organism: Pipistrellus kuhlii (Kuhl's pipistrelle)
Lineage: Eukaryota; Metazoa; Chordata; Mammalia; Chiroptera; Vespertilionidae
Exons: 2
Source: RefSeq, a predicted model, not a curated record